RNAcentral lists this microRNA (22 nucleotides) under Petromyzon marinus (sea lamprey). RNAcentral's name for it is "pma-miR-497-5p". Its record names the gene pma-miR-497-5p. The record is from miRBase by way of RNAcentral. Lineage: Eukaryota; Metazoa; Chordata; Hyperoartia; Petromyzontiformes; Petromyzontidae.
CAGCAGCACAACACGAUCUGUU